Molecule: long non-coding RNA, 1534 nt
Organism: Paramormyrops kingsleyae
Lineage: Eukaryota; Metazoa; Chordata; Actinopteri; Osteoglossiformes; Mormyridae
Source: RefSeq, a predicted model, not a curated record
UCCAUGGCCUCACCGAACUCCUCCCACGCCCGGGUUUACAUUGGAGGCUCACUUUUAUCUAGUUAAUUACUUGACAGCUGUAUAUUGUGAUGAGUGAUCUGGCAAAAGCAACUGCUAAAAAAAGUAAAUACAGCUGAACAUAUGCAUAUAUGCAAUGGGCAGCACUGUCGCCUCACUCCUCGGGGACCAGAGGUAAAGUCUCUGCCAGGGUUCCAUUUGUGUGGAGUUUGCAUGUUCUUGCUGUGUGAUUGUUGGGUUUCCCUUGGGCACUCUAGUAACCCCUUCCCCCCCAUCCACCCCCCACAGUCCAAAGACAUGUGAUUUGGUGUUACCAAAUUGCCCACAGAUAUGAAUGGUGUGUGAAUGCACCCUGUGAUGGGUUGGUGCCCCAUCCUGGGUUGUUCCCUGCCUUGCACCCAUAGGUUCCAGACCCCCUGUCAUCUUGAAUAGGACACAUGGUUACAGAACGUGGAUGGAUGUAAAUAUAUAAAAUUGGAUUAGGACUCUCUUUAAGGUGCAUGUUAUCUUUGAUUAACUCAAAGCUGCCUGAACUUUUAUUGAAUAAGUUUAUAUGUUAAAAAAAACUCUCUUCCAGGCAUCGGUAAUCCCCUGCGUGAACGCUAAAUGAAACACAGUGGUUAUAUGUAAAGCCACACAAAGUUUCAUCCUGAAACAACUCUGCUAUCCUUUACCUAUUACAGUUAUACCUCCUUCCCAUGACAGGUCUUCCUUUGAAAGCCGCCAACUGACCUCCACGUCAUGGUGAAAUGCAAAGAGACAAGCGUGCAAGAACUGAUACUUACUGAGGUGCUUAGCAUUUGUCCAGCAUUCAUCCUCCCACUGGCUGUCUUUCGAUUGACCAGCUACAGGUCGGUGGGAUCAGCCUCGUUGUCCAGUCCCCUAUACCCCUUUAACUCACCCAAUUGGAAGAGCAUCCAGUUUUCAGCCAAGCAGUUCUGCCUACUGUCAGUGAGAGAUAUGUGGGUGUCUCCAGGUAUGACCUAUGAAUUCAUGCAUGCAACAGACACCCCUGUUAUUCAUAUUUCCAUGGUAUUUGUCCUACUAAAUAAAUCUAUGGAAAUUCUUAGAUGUACCUUCAUAUAUCCACAAGCACAGAUUUGUUUGAUUUUACUAUAGUUGCAUUGUAAUUUCUUAAUAAUAUACUGUUUGUCAACAAUGUAACAAUAAAUGUGUGGUAUUGAAAAAAAGAAUAACCAGAAAAUAAAAGUAAAGCCUUUACUUUCUGUAAGAAAAUUAUACCCAUGAGAUUAUUGAAUACUUAUUUUAACAAAAUAAUAUACAUACCAAAUUAAUCAUGACAAUAUUUUCAUUUUCCUGAAUGUCAGCUAGAAAUGAAAACAAUUAGAUGUCAAACUAAUGUCAUUUUAUCAGUUUGUAUAUUGCAAUUCCUAAUUGCUUUUUUUAUUGUUACAAAUAAAUGUUCUAAUUUCUGACAAAUCGCUCAUUUUCUUCAUGCAUAAAUCACAUUGCUGUCAACAUAGUACUUGUUUUGCUUUUGUGCAUGUGCAGGAAU